Molecule: ribosomal RNA, 459 nt
Filed under: Enterococcus faecium
Lineage: Bacteria; Bacillati; Bacillota; Bacilli; Lactobacillales; Enterococcaceae
Description: bacterial SSU rRNA
Rfam family: Bacterial small subunit ribosomal RNA
Source: RNAcentral
GUGGUGCAUGGUUGUCGUCAGCUCGUGUCGUGAGAUGUUGGGUUAAGUCCCGCAACGAGCGCAACCCUUAAGCUUAGUUGCCAUCAUUAAGUUGGGCACUCUAAGUUGACUGCCGGUGACAAACCGGAGGAAGGUGGGGAUGACGUCAAAUCAUCAUGCCCCUUAUGAUUUGGGCUACACACGUGCUACAAUGGACAAUACAAAGGGUAGCGAAACCGCGAGGUCAAGCAAAUCCCAUAAAGUUGUUCUCAGUUCGGAUUGUAGUCUGCAACUCGACUAUAUGAAGCUGGAAUCGCUAGUAAUCGUAGAUCAGCAUGCUACGGUGAAUACGUUCCCGGGUCUUGUACACACCGCCCGUCACACCACGAGAGUUUGUAACACCCGAAGCCGGUGGAGUAACCAUUUGGAGCUAGCCGUCGAAGGUGGGACAAAUGAUUGGGGUGAAGUCGUAACAAGGUA